Castor canadensis (American beaver) is the source of this 266-nucleotide non-coding RNA. The record is from RefSeq and is a predicted model, not a curated record. Lineage: Eukaryota; Metazoa; Chordata; Mammalia; Rodentia; Castoridae.
ACAUGGUGUCGCCCCUCAUGGCCCUCCACAGCUUGUCCUGGAUGCUGCUUUUCUGCCUGAUGCUCCUAUCUCAGGUCCAAGGAGAGGACUCCCAAAAGGAUCUCCCCUCUUUGUGCAUAAGCUGUCCCAAAGUCUCCCAGGAUGCCUCCCACUGCUAUGCCUUGUUUAAGACUCCAAAAUCCUGGAUGGAUGCAGAUGUGAGUGUUGAGGGAGGAGUUGGCCUGCCAGAAGCGGCCCUCAGGACACCUAGUGUCCUUGCUCAGUGG